UUUUGGGGCGGUGUUUACAGACUCUUCUUCUCUGCCUCCGCCCUAUUCUUGGCCCAGACUUGGAGCCUCUUCUGCUUUCCAGCCAGAUCCGGAAAAAUACGAAAACACAGCUCAGGGAGCCCCCACCAGCUGGCGCCUAUGCCAGCUCACCUCUGGCUGUUGGUGCACAAUGCCAAGGCCAAAUCCACAUUCUUCCUUCUCUCUCCCCACUUCUCGGAGACCAGAGACCAGAGCCCUGAAGAAGAAGGGCCCAAGCUCUACAGACUGCAAAACCAACUGGGUCCCUUCUCACCAAAAAUGGUAAGACAAGAUUUCAUCUUGUCCGUUGCGGGAGUCACAAGCAG
This is a non-coding RNA of Erinaceus europaeus (western European hedgehog), 344 nucleotides long. The record is from Rfam. NCBI's taxonomy places the organism in Eukaryota, Metazoa, Chordata, Mammalia, Eulipotyphla, Erinaceidae.